UACGGAGGGGGCUAGCGUUGUUCGGAAUUACUGGGCGUAAAGCGCACGUAGGCGGCUUUGUAAGUUAGAGGUGAAAGCCCGGGGCUCAACCCCGGAAUUGCCUUUAAGACUGCAUCGCUCGAACGUCGGAGAGGUGAGUGGAAUUCCGAGUGUAGAGGUGAAAUUCGUAGAUAUUCGGAAGAACACCAGUGGCGAAGGCGGCUCACUGGACGACUGUUGACGCUGAGGUGCGAAAGCGUGGGGAGCAAACAGG
This 253-nucleotide ribosomal RNA is filed under the name uncultured bacterium. RNAcentral describes it as "partial 16S ribosomal RNA". It matches the Rfam family "Bacterial small subunit ribosomal RNA", at positions 524 to 776 of the family's 1533-position model. The record is from RNAcentral.